GACGAACGCUGGCGGCGUGCCUAAUGCAUGCAAGUCGCACGGGCGACCCUCGGGUCGUCAGUGGCGCACGGCUGAGUAACACGUUGGUAUCGACCCCUCGGUGGGGGACAACGCCGCGAAAGCGGCGCUAAUCCCGCAUGUGCUCCCUUACGGGAGGAAAGCCGCAAGGCGCCGAGGGCCGAGCCUGCGGCCCAUCAGGUUGUUGGUGCGGUAAUGGCGCACCAAGCCGGUGACGGGUAGCUGGUCUGUGAGGACGACCAGCCAGACUGGGACUGAGACACGGCCCAGACUCCUACGGGAGGCAGCAGCAAGGAAUUUUCGGCAAUGGGCGCAAGCCUGACCGAGCAACGCCGCGUGCAGGAUGACGGCCUUCGGGUUGUAAACUGCUUUUGCUGAGGACGACAUCGACGGUACUCGGCGAAUCAGCCCCGGCUAACUCUGUGCCAGCAGCCGCAGUAAAAC
RNAcentral lists this ribosomal RNA (462 nucleotides) under uncultured bacterium. Its description in RNAcentral is "bacterial SSU rRNA". It matches the Rfam family "Bacterial small subunit ribosomal RNA", at positions 28 to 526 of the family's 1533-position model. The record is from RNAcentral.